Hyla sarda is the source of this 618-nucleotide long non-coding RNA. RefSeq lists it as uncharacterized. Lineage: Eukaryota; Metazoa; Chordata; Amphibia; Anura; Hylidae. The transcript has 3 exons. The record is from RefSeq and is a predicted model, not a curated record.
GGUGAAAGUUUGUACAGUGGCAAUGAUACUUGUGCCAGUGACAGUUGGGGUGGGGGCUGUGACAAUAAGGUUGGUGGCAUUCACAGCUGAAGCAGUGGCAGUGACAGUUCAGGUAGUGGCAGUAACACUGGGGAUGGUGACGCUGACAGUUGGGGCAGUGACAGUUGUGGUGGUGGCAGUGACAGUUUAUAUCUUGGAGGGGGAAGAAAUGUCAGGCUGUAUACCUAGCAGAGAAGAGCCAAGAUACAGCUGCAACAAGACUGCUUAAUGAGAGCUGAUGUGUUAUAGCUGUCACUUUUGUAUAGGAAGCCAGAUGAUGCCAAUCAGGACUGUGUUUUUAUCUGAAAGUGGUCCCCCUGCUGAGAAACAAGGCACGGGGUCUUCCACUUCAUCUUUACAAUAUUUUAUGGAAGGGGAACAUUAAUUAUCGAUGCUCUUAAUUCAAUACCGAUGAACACCACAAGACCUGCAGGAUUGGAGGAGCAGGUUCCAGAUCUCUUUCGAGAAGCUUUUUCUCUACUUAUUUACGUAUUUAUUCAAUUCCUGAAGGGCUCGCGGUACUUCUACGUACACAACAACCUCUCAACACUCAACCUCUCAACACUAGACCACUUCUUA